GCAUCAAAGAACUAGGACUUGAGGCAGCGGUUCAAAGGCAACACCCAGGCGAAAUCUGCAAUUCAGCAUCCUACACACCUGGAUUUGGGAAAUGUGGUUUCUGGAAGGAUGGGUAUGAUUUGUGAAAGUGUGCUUUCAGAAUUCAAGGAGUUGCUGUCAAUGUGUGGAGGUCCGAACGAAAAGCUGAGGGCCAAUUAUUUAUUGCAACAAAUCAUGAAAUGAGGUUGAGAUGGAUUGUUUGGCUCUUGCCUAGUGGUGGAUCGGCUAGCAAUGAACAGCAUGAUUUGAUUUCUGCCUGAAUGUUCUGCUUGCUGAUUUUUGCACUUCAUUUUGUAUCUAUAUUGUGGAUCAUAUUUGUAAUGUUCUCUACUCAUAA
Long non-coding RNA from Tripterygium wilfordii, 376 nucleotides. RefSeq lists it as uncharacterized. The transcript is spliced from 3 exons. The record is from RefSeq and is a predicted model, not a curated record. Lineage: Eukaryota; Viridiplantae; Streptophyta; Magnoliopsida; Celastrales; Celastraceae.